This 1543-nucleotide ribosomal RNA is filed under the name Podarcis siculus (Italian wall lizard). Its description in RNAcentral is "16S ribosomal RNA". It matches the Rfam family "Bacterial large subunit ribosomal RNA", at positions 371 to 2836 of the family's 2925-position model. Lineage: Eukaryota; Metazoa; Chordata; Lepidosauria; Squamata; Lacertidae. The record is from RNAcentral.
GCCCACAACCUCAGCCAAAUAAACCUGCAAAACCCCAAAACCUCUAUAAACCAAAACAUUUUUUCGGCCAGUAAAUGAGAUUAAACCCCCACCAUUGGCCUUACAAGUACCGCAAGGGAAUAGUGAAAGAAUAGUGAAAAACUCUAAGCAUAAAAUAGCAAAGACCAACCCCUGUACCUCCUGCAUCAUGGUUUAGCAAAACCCCCUCAAGCAAAGCGAACCUUUAGCCUGCCCCCCCGAAACCAAACGAGCUAUUUUUGGGCAGCUGUUAAACUAGAGCACACCCGUCCCUGUAGCAAAAGGGUGGGAAGACCUAAAAAUAGAGGCAAAAAGCCAAUCGAGCUUGGUGAUAGCUGGCUGCUCAACAAGAGAAUUUUAGUUCAACUUUAGGAACACAUAAAUUAACACCUCCAAAUUCAUUAUCUUUUUUCCUAAAGAAAAUCAACGGGGGUACAGCCCCAUUGAACCGGAAUACAGCCCGAACUGAGAGAACAACCCGCCCCUAACUUAAGUAGGCUUCAAAGCAGCCACCAAAAAUCGCGUUAUAGCAUCUAACCAAAAUAAUUUCAACAGCCCAAAUUAAUCUCCUGAUAAACUCCGAGCCAUUCUAUACUAACAUAGAAACACCAAUGCUAAUAUUAGUAAUAAGAAACACUAAUUUCUCUUUGCAUUUCCUUAAAUCAGAAUAGAAAACCUACUGACAAUUAACAUUACAUAACCCCACAUUCAUUCUAGAAAAAGUUAUCCAAAAUUUGUUAACCCAACACAGGCAUGCACAAAAGAAAGGCAAAAAGCCAUAAAAGGAACUCGGCAACAACUUGUCCCAACUGUUUACCAAAAACAUAGCCUUUAGCUUUACAAGUAUUAAAGGUCCCGCCUGCCCAGUGACUCUUUAAACGGCCGCGGUAUCCUAACCGUGCAAAGGUAGCAUAAUCACUUGUCCCCUAAAUAGGGACUGGAAUGAAUGGCUAAAUGAGGACAAAACUGUCUCUUAUGGCCUAGCCAAUGAAAUUGAUCCUCCAGUACAAAAGCUGGAAUAAACACAUAAGACGAGAAGACCCUGUGGAGCUUCAAAACCAAAAUCACUAAACAUGCUUUCUUGGAUUUUUAGUUGGGGCGACUUUGGAGCAAAAAAAACCCUCCAAAAAUUUAAUUUAAUUAUCAAGACUAACAUAUCAAAAAUAAUUUUUAUAGACCCAGCAAUAUUUCUAUAUUGUCUGAUCAAUGAACCAAGUUACCCCAGGGAUAACAGCGCCAUCCUCUUCUAGAGUCCUUAUCGACAAGAGGGUUUACGACCUCGAUGUUGGAUCAGGACACCCCUAUAGUGCAGCCGCUAUAAAAGGUUCGUUUGUUCAACGAUUAAAGUCCUACGUGAUCUGAGUUCAGACCGGAGAAAUCCAGGUCGGUUUCUAUCUAUGCAGCACUAUUUUUAGUACGAAAGGACCAAAAUAGUGGGACCCAUACUAGAUAAACGUCCCAAUAAAAACUACUGAUUUUUACUAAAGUAGCCAACAUACCCACCCAAUUAAUCAAAAUAAGAUUU